UGCAAUUUAAAGCAAUCCCUCCAAUGUCUUUAGUGGCAAGUAUGUGCUGAGAUGUACAGAUGUUUCUGCCAGUGCAGGCUUUCCAUCAUAACUCGAAGCUAUGGAAUGUGCUUUGGAGUAGUCCUUAAUUUUAUUUCUAUUCAGACACAGAAAAGUAGGCAGUGUCAACAAAGAAAAAAAAAAUUCCUUCUUAAGCCCCACCAGUUUAAUAAUCUUUUGCUGAGUUUCCUGAUGUGGCUGUUUGCAUUCUUUGGUGAAUUCAGACUGACUGUGAGCAGCCUCCAAAUAAAACAUGGUCAUACAAAGAUUUACCUUGGCUGUACCGGUGCUUGGCUGCACGGGACACGGAGCAGCCAACUGGUUCAGCUCAAGCUGCACGUCCUCUUCCAGCAACUGCUUCCCAUCCAGCUCACCGCUGCCCGAAUUAGCAGGGCUGUUGCUUCAGCUCACAGAGGCAAUUUAGUUCUGGUGUUUGUGUCGAUGAUCAAUGAAGUCAGGAAGCUGCAUUUACAGAGUGUUCAAAGGCCCUUUUAUUCUGCAAGAAUCAAAUCCAGGCUUCCGUUAAAUGCAGUAAAGUCUCCCAUCAUUAAAACACUGAGGCUGCAAGUUUGGCCACAAAAAUGUUACAGCCAUGCAGUUGGUAUUCAGUCCUUUCUGCCCGCACUGCCAAGUCUGGCUUUUACUUAUUUAUUAAAUUUUACACGUCUCAUGUCUUUCGUGCAUUCUAUAAAGCCUCCGUGUUUACAGGCAUCUUAUUCACCCGCAAACCUCAGCUUGCAGUUGUUAAGGCCCUGCUACCAGCCCUCAGGACAGAGGAAGCAUAAAUGUGCAAUACGGCUGAUCCUCACAGGCAAAGCCAGAAGGCUCGUAAAAACCCGCAUUUCAAAAGUCAAAUCGUGGUUUUUUAAGAGGAUCUCAUGAACUCGGGCUCCCAUUUAUGUGUCCCAAGUGCCUGGAGCAGACAGCACCGACGACCGCCUGGGCCAGGCUGUGCCAAGAGCAGAGAGCGCUGCAACGGAACAGGGAGGAGCCCUCCUUCCAGUUACCGUGCUCCAGCUUUGCUGUCGCAGCCCGAGAGCCCUGCACCACGCGGCCCAUUUACCGCGUGCAGGACGCGUCCUGCUGCCCUGGAAGCACUCGGCCCCUCUUGGCCGGAUUUAGCGUGCAGGAAGAGCACAGGGCUGCUUAGGAAA
Molecule: long non-coding RNA, 1193 nt
Filed under: Chrysolophus pictus (golden pheasant)
Lineage: Eukaryota; Metazoa; Chordata; Aves; Galliformes; Phasianidae
Description: lncRNA (ENSCPIG00010002910.1)
Source: RNAcentral